This 3899-nucleotide long non-coding RNA is filed under the name Vitis vinifera (wine grape). Its description in RNAcentral is "long non-coding RNA (VVIN_LNC005266)". Lineage: Eukaryota; Viridiplantae; Streptophyta; Magnoliopsida; Vitales; Vitaceae. The record is from RNAcentral.
AACCACUUUUCACAUUUCCCAUGUGUUCAAAGAUAAUGAAUAAUGUUACAGGGAAACGCAGGAAGAAAAAAAUUAUUGGGCGCAUCUUCUUACUUGUGAGCGAGCAGGAGUGUGUCAUGGCUUUCCCAAUAACAGGCAAGGUGUUUACCAGCUGAACGGAUUCUCAGGGGUGGCCGAACUUUGAUACUGAUCUCUUUAGGUGUCAAUGAAAACAUCUCAGGAAGACCUUAUUGAUAGAAAAAUGUAGAGAAAUGUGUUUAGUACAACAUCAUUCUUGCUGACCCUGAGGAGGGAUCCUCGUCUUAUAAAUAAGCUGGAUAGAACACCAAGGCCUAAAUCAAGAAUUACCAACACCUGCAAGCGACAAACAUCAAAUAUUUAACCAACUCAUAUCAAAUUCAGAAGGGAAUAUAAACAUAUACAGUUGCUGAUCAUUAUCCCGUUUCACAAUGAAGCAUAAUCAAUGUAUAUGGAAUUAUGUGAGAGUUCAAACCUAAGACUUCCCAUGUUAAUUUGUCAUUCCUCUAUGAAAGAAAACUAUAUAGAUUAUGAGAAACUUUUGNNNNNNNNNNNNNNNNNNNNNNNNNNNNNNNNNNNNNNNNNNNNNNNNNNNNNNNNNNNNNNNNNNNNNNNNNNNNNNNNNNNNNNNNNNNNNNNNNNNNUUUUUUUUUUGAAAUUUUUCCCAAAAUUUUUUUUUUCGCCGUGAAAAAUUAGGGGAAAGUUUUUUUAAAUUUUUUGGGGUUUUUUUUUUUAUAUAAAUUUAAAAAAAAAAAAAAGGGGGUUCACCCCUUUUUAAAAAUUUCCCCGUUUUUUUUUUAAAAAAAAAACCCCCCCCCCUUUUUUUUUUCCUUUUUUUUUUUUUUUAAAAAAAAAUAAUAUAAAAAAAAAUCCCUUUUUUUUUAAAAUUUUCCCUUUUUUUUUUUAUAAAAAACCCGUUUUUUUUUUUUUUUUUUUUUUUUUAAAUUCCCCCCAUUUUUUUUUUUUUGGGGAAAAAGGUUUUAACCCCCUUUGGGCCCCCCGGGGGGGUUUUUUAAAUUUUUUUUAAAAAAAAAAAAAUAUCCCCCCUGUAUUUUCCUUCCCCUGGGUUUUGGGGUUUUUUUUUUUUUUGAAAAAAAUUUUUUUUUUUUCCCCAAAUUUUUCCCCCAAAAAAUUUUUAAAAAAAAUUUUUUUAAAAACCUUUUUUUUUUUUUUUUUUUCCCCCCCCCCCCCCCCCCCCCCCCCCAACCAAGGAGGAAAAUGUCGGGAUAUAUCGGGAGGAGUCGACACGAUAUCUCGUGGAGAAAAAUCGGAGGGGAGAUAUUUCCGCAAAAAUCGCCAAAAUAUCGGCGAUAUAUCGGCUCAGGGAGAUAUAUCGGCGAAGAUAAAUUGUCGAUUUUUUGGCGAUAUUUCCCCUCCUUCAUGCAACGUGAUCUGACGGCCUAGAUCACGCUCGUGUUGAUCCGACGGCCUAGAUGUGAUUCCAAUGGUAAUAUGGCGAUCCAACGACCAGAUUGCUCCUAGUUUUUGAUCCAACGGCCAAAAUUAAUUUUCAACGGUAAAUUAAUGUUCCAACGGCUAUUUUGGCCAAAAUUUCUUCUAUAAAUAGCCCAAAUUUCAUCUAUUUCAUCCAUUUUUGCUUUCAUUCUUCAUUUGCUCUCUCAUUACUCCAAUUUUUAUUAAGGUUGCUCAAUUAUUUAAUCAUUUUAAGGUAUAUUUGUUUUAAAUUGUAAUUAAUUUUGUUUGCAGUUGUAAUUAAUUCAUGUAUUUUCAAUUAAUUAGUAUGUUUGCAAUAUGGAUGAUUUAAUGCUAUUUUUACAUUCAAUUGUAAUUAAUUUUUACAUUUUUAUUGAAUUAACUUAGGUUAAUUUGAUUAUUUAAUUAUAAAUUGAUAUGUUUAUUUUAGAUGAUUAUUUGUGAUUUAUUUUCACAUUUAGAAUUAAAUUAAACUAGUUAACUUAGCUAAAUUAUUUAAUUAACAUGAACUAGUAUAUUUUGAAUAUGAAAUAUGUUUAUUUAAUGAAUUUAAUGUGUACAAAUUAUUGAUAUUUAAUGAAAUGAAGUAUUUUAUGUGACUUUAUAAUGAGAACAAUUACAAAAUUAACAUUUCUUAUAGAUCGACAUGAUAUAAUUACAUCUAAUAUCACAAAUUAUAUCAUAUGUAUAUCAAAUUUUUCAAUAAAACAACUUUAAAAUGUCCAUUAUACUUUUAAUUAUAUCAUUAUGGGGUUUUCCUUGUAUUUCCAUGAGUUUUUAACAAUUUUAAGCCUACCGAUAUUUUUUUCCAAAAUAUUUGUCAAUAUAUCUCCGAUAUAUCCGAUAUAUCCGUAAAAUCGAAGUACCGAUAUAUCCGUGAUUACCAAUAUUUUCAUCCUUGCCCCCAACACACACAUGCCCCCUUAAUAUUUUUGGUAGCUACUGAAGUUGGUUGAAUUGAUUCAAUUAACUGAUUGACGUUCCACAAAUUUGGAACUUAUAGAUUAUCAAUCUGUGUUGCAAACUGGCAUAUAAAAGAAAAAAUCAUGUGUGUUGUGAACUGAAUUGAUUUGUCUUACAAGUGUUAAUUAUUUCUACAUGCUUCAAAUGUUCCAGGUCUUUUGGGAUUAUUAAACGGUUUGACAACAAUUCCAAAAAACACCUGGUAAGGGAAGAUUUCCUGUGUUCUGUAAGAUUAGUUGACAAUAUGUUUAUAUUCAUAUAAGAUACAUCUCUGUUGUUGCAGAUCAUGUUUGAAGAUGGUGAUGGGGAAUUUCUUGACAUGUCAAAAGAAGAUUGGGAAUUUGUAACUUUAUGAUGUAAUAUGGGGUGAGUUUGUCCUUUACUUAACAGUGCUUCUAUUUCAAAGUUGGUAUUGGAUCUAAUACUGUAAUGCUAUAUUCUCAUUAUUUCUGUAUAUAUACUUAAAAAUUGACAAAAUAUGAUAUGGUAUGAUUCUUACAAGUGCACUACAGUUUCAGCUAAAAUGAUACGGAUCACUGAUAUGUAUUGCAUCUCAUGACACAUAUAAUGCACAGUACCAUAACAAUAUAAUAUGUUAAGGUUGAAAGUCAAUGAAAAAAAGGAAGGGAAGAGAGAAUGAUGACAUGGGUGUUGAAAGCAAAGAAAAUAAGUGAAAUUUGAUUAUUGUUGCUAUGAAUGUUGGGGAAAUGUGGUUUGAAUCGAACACAUGGUUGCUUGGAUGAUGUAAAUAUUGACCAUGAGAAUGAUGAUGACCAAGAACAAAAGUUUCUUCUUAAUCUAUUAUAGUUUUCUUUCAUAGAGGAAUGACAAUUAACAUGGGAAGUCUUAGUUUUGAACUUCUCACAUAAUUCCAUAUACAUUGAUUAUGCUUUCAUUGUUGAAACGGGAUAAUGAUCAGCAACUGUAUAUGUUUAUAUUCCCUUCUGAAUUUGAUAUGAGUUGGUUAAAUAUUUGAUGUUGUCGCCUUGCAGGUGUUGGUAAUUCUUGAUUUAGGCCUUGGUGUUCUAUCCAGCUUAUUUAUAAGACGAGGAUCCCUCCUCAGGGUCAGCAAGAAUGAUGUUGUACUAAACACAUUUCUCUACAUUUUUCUAUCAAUAAGGUCUUCCUGAGAUGUUUUCAUUGACACCUAAAGAGAUCAGUAUCAAAGUUCGGCCACCCCUGAGAAUCCGUUCAGCUGGUAAACACCUUGCCUGUUAUUGGGAAAGCCAUGACACACUCCUGCUCGCUCACAAGUAAGAAGAUGCGCCCAAUAAUUUUUUUCUUCCUGCGUUUCCCUGUAACAUUAUUCAUUAUCUUUGAACACAUGGGAAAUGUGAAAAGUGGUUAAAGGAUCUUGCUCUUGAAAUCUGAUGUGAAAAGUUGAGCUUAAUUAGAUGCUUUAGAUAAUCUAGUUGGAAGAUGUCGAAUUCUAAUGCUUGGAAGCAUCCAUUGUACUGAACCUUUUGUGGUUGGAUCAUCCUUGU